AUGUUCGUCUCCUUCCCGCUGUCCGAGUUCCUCGCAAGACAGGAACUGGUGGCAGGGGCUCUUGCCGAGCUGCAGCUGGUGGCCUCCGGUCCUGGGGUGGGGAAGAGCUCGGAGUCCCUCUCACUCACCUGCGCUGUCUCUGGUGAAUCCAUCACAACUAGUGGCUUUAGAGGGCAUUGGUAUCGGCAGGUCCCAGGCAAGGCACCGGAGUGGCUGGGUCUGAUAUACUGGGAUGGGGAUACGCGCUACGCCCCGUCCCUCCAAGGCCGAACCACCAUCUCUGCAGACACCGCCAGGAACCAGUUCUCCCUGCAGCUCCGCUCGCUGACAGCUGCAGACACCGGCACCUAUUACUGCGCCGGAGACACACAGUGA
Molecule: non-coding RNA, 375 nt
Organism: Chelonoidis abingdonii (Abingdon island giant tortoise)
Lineage: Eukaryota; Metazoa; Chordata; Testudines; Testudinidae
Source: the annotation of a RefSeq genome assembly